RNAcentral lists this long non-coding RNA (465 nucleotides) under Eucalyptus grandis. Its description in RNAcentral is "long non-coding RNA (EGRA_LNC007512)". The record is from RNAcentral. Lineage: Eukaryota; Viridiplantae; Streptophyta; Magnoliopsida; Myrtales; Myrtaceae.
AGUCGCAAAAAAACAGGGGAAACGCUACUUUUAUACUAUUAACAUAUACCAACCAAACACGUCCAGAUAGCAUUCCUUUGUCUAUAUGUUUUUUCAUAUCACCUGCAGGUACUUGAAAUCAAGCUAGGCUUAGAAAAAACAGAUCUGUCUCCGGCAUUGAAUAAAUAAACCCAUUUCCCCCUAUGCCAUAAUCCACUAAAUAGUCUUGGGUGGUAGAUGCCACCUCAAUGUACCCACCAUUAUUCCGUCCAAUAGCAUAUGGUAUGUACAAAGAAUCCACCCCACGAGAAGUAGAAUGUAUCCAAACAACAUCUGCGCAGGUGGUAGGAUUGCCGACCUACUUCAUCAAAACUUUGCCUUUUGACUGCAUGCCCCAUCUGUGACUAUGAGUACUGAAGAGAUGAACUAGAAUGGCAUGAAGCACAGGUACUUCUUCUGGAGCUUCUUCAAUGCUCCAUCAGUCUU